GAAGGUUUUACAAUAUAAAACAGAGGAAGGACCAAAAACAGAUGGAGGUGAAACCAGGGGAUUUGAGGGAGCAGCUGAGGGCAAUGAUGAAUGCUGAUAGAGAUGGAGCAGGGAGGGCAGCUCUGGCAUAUUGGGAGCAACUGAUGUGGGCUGGUAGUGCCCCCCUGCCCUGAGACCUGCAGCAGCACAGUGCUGGAGUACCUGUGGUUCCUGAGGGCUGCAUGAUACAGGUUCACUCCAUAAGAGAGAGAGGGAGAAAUCAGUCGCUCCUCGAGGAGAUCCGUCUCCAUCACUCAACCAGCUGCAUCCCUUCAUAAAUCUUCCCUAACUUGCUGAAAUGUCUUUCGAUGGAUGAAGCAACGGAGAGUAGAAGAACAGAGCCUGGCAGGCUGCUUGCACAACUCCUGGAACAGGUGGAAGUGAGAUAGCAGAUAACAGGACUGCAGGAGUGUCUGCAUGGCAGGUUUUUGGGACUGGAUGUCUUCCCUCCCAACACCUGGUGGCUUUGUCCAGCUGUAGCCUUGGGAGGACGAUCUGCCUGUGUUUGGCUCGUGUCCUUGGGGGCUGAAAAUGAAAAACAACAAGAAGAGAAAACUUGCUGUCAGCAAUACUCUGUAUAUCCAGAGCUGUGCUAGGGAACCGCCAAGCUUCCUGAUACCCUGUGUUGGCUGAGAGGCAAUGAGAUUAAGGAAAGCAUAACCUGCAUAAAGAAUUUUUUUGAAGGGCAAAACAAAACAGAUCAUUUCCUCGAUUUAAUGUGAGCCAAUUAUGGCUCAUGGGCUGUUAACUUCAUCACCGCUUCUUCCAAGAAAGACGUUGGGUAAAACGAACCAGCACAGCUCCGCGUGCGCCCGGCAAUGCCUCAGCCCUGGCCAUUUAUCCCCGCGGAUGGAAAAAAGCUAAAGCCUAUGUCACACAAAUGCCCUCUAAAGUAUCCAACCACUUGUUGUACAUCUGCUGACGGAUACCAACUGGAAAGGAGAUUAGCGCUCAGACUCCCGCUCUGGGCUGUCUGCUGCUCCUAAUGAGGACCAGAUUGCAGCCCCCGCCGGCGCUGCACCUCCAGCGGAUGGCGGGAUGGGGAGAUGCCAGGGCGCAUGCCAGCAGCGUGGAACCGUGUG
This is a long non-coding RNA of Lagopus leucura (white-tailed ptarmigan), 1121 nucleotides long. RefSeq lists it as uncharacterized. The record is from RefSeq and is a predicted model, not a curated record. Lineage: Eukaryota; Metazoa; Chordata; Aves; Galliformes; Phasianidae. The transcript has 5 exons.